CUCCAGUCCUCGUGUGCCUAAUUGAUUUUUCUGCAUCCCUAGCAAACACAGCUGAUUAAUCAAAUUGCAUUCUAAACUGAAGCUCAUGAUUAGGUGAUUAUUGGAGUCAGGCGUGUUAUUUGGGGCUGGGGAAAAACUGUGACACCAAUCAGGCACUUGAUGACUGGAACUGCCCACCCCUGCGUAUAGUAGACAGCUGUGGCUGACUGAAUGGAUGAACAACUAUAUGAGAUGAUGAACAACUAUCUUUCCUCAUAGUUUACCUCCAUCUACCAUGGCAGGAGGGAUACUGCUGGUUUCAGGUGAACACACACACCAGAAUAUAGAGCUUUGUCUGUUUAAUUCACAUUUUACUGUGUGUGUAGGACACCCUGGUAGAUGCUGACAUGGCCAAAAAUGUCGUGAUGUGGCAGAAUGGAAGCAUGUGUGGUCUGGACCACUGGAACUUUGUCAUGCAUCCUGUUGACGCGGCUAUGACCUGUGACCCUAACGGAAGUUACGCCAGGACGUGGUGUCCUGAGCUGGCUGCUGUGCCUGAUGACAUACACAAACCCUGUAAGUGUCCAGCCUCCAUGCUGCGCCACACCGAAGUGUGAGUGUUACACUUCCCUUAUUGCUCUACACUGACAGAUCUGGAGGAAAGGAGCCUCUCUCUGCAGGACGUGAAGUUGGUGAGGAGGCAUUUUGGGGAGUAUGUGGACCUGGUCCCCCCCCCCUGGUCUCGGAGGCCCUGGGUGUUCAUCAACUCACUGCUUCUAUUGUAUUGUGUCUCAUGAGUGGUCCUCAGUACUAUUUUUCCUGUAUGAUUUAUUCUCUUUUUUUUAAAGCCUUUAGCCAUUUUAUAGUGGUGUGUAUUUUAUGUACAAAUGUCGCACUGGGAAUUUUGCUAAAUUGAGUGAGUGACAACUUCUCUCUCAGGGAUUCGUAGUCAACACAGAUAGGCAGUUCCUCCUGCCUGUCAUCACCCGCAUGGAGUUCAAACACAAAUCAGACGAUCAAGACCCGGACGCUGCCUCUAACCCCCAUGUGAGUUGCAGGCGGGAUGAGACCAUCGCCUUCCUGAACCAGACAGACUUCAUGACCAGCGUGAUGAAAGAGGGGAGGGAGAGACAGGAGAGACCAGAGAAAGAUAGAGGGACUGGCACACCCCCAUUUGACCUGGGGAAGGGUUAGGAGGACCCCUGCUGCUAAGGCCAGGUUAUCCUCUGUGCCUGGGGGAGUGGCUACGUUUCACAGAUGACCAAGAGGGCAGGGGUUAAAGAUCAGCCUACACUGAUAGAACUGUUGCAAAACUAGGUACCACAUCAUGGGUUAGAGUUUAAGGGUACACCAAGCCAGUUGUACAACUGAAUGCAUUCAACUGCAAUGUGAAACAAACUCCUUUGAAUCAGAGGUGUGGGGGGGCUGCCUUAAUCGACAUCCAUGUCAUCGGUGCAGGAACAGUGUGGUUAGUCUGUGUAACAAGGACAAACUGCUGUUUAAAUGAAUUGGUUUACAUCUUCGUCCUUUACCAAUCAUAAUUCAGUAAUGCAGGCUGAAUCAACUGCAAGCACUGCUACUAGGUGCCAUUGUGUUAAAGUGCAAUAUUUGUGCUAAGGAAUUCAAGCAAAUAUAAACAUGAAUGAAAAUACAAUCUUUAAGUGCUGUCUUUCCAAACUAGUAUCAGAGGCUACACAGACAUCUCAGUAAAAGUACCCAGGGGGGAUGAAGUGGACAUGACUUGCACUAAGUAAACACAAGGAAGUGCAAGUCAGGAGUUUUAUUUGUACGUAAUCUUCAGUGCCAGUACAUGCUGUGCAUACAGACGCACAACAUACAGUAGAAACCAGCCUGCUCCAGAUCCAAAGUGCUUUAUUAUUACCCCUUCCCCCUCCCCUACCAGAUGGACUGAUCCAGACAGCUGUAUUUGAUAGUCCUCAGAAUUGCACUAUUUUUCCCAGUAGUGUUGUCGUGAUGCUGCAUUCAUAACCAAGUGGGAAGGUGGUAUUUACCACACACAACUGGGAAAAAUCCACUUAAACCCCCCUACAACUCAAUCAUCCCA
Molecule: RNA transcript, 2044 nt
Organism: Oncorhynchus keta (chum salmon)
Lineage: Eukaryota; Metazoa; Chordata; Actinopteri; Salmoniformes; Salmonidae
Exons: 2
Source: RefSeq, a predicted model, not a curated record